GACGAACGCUGGCGGCGUGCUUAACACAUGCAAGUCGAACGGAAAGGCCCUGCUUUUGUGGGGUGCUCGAGUGGCGAACGGGUGAGUAACACGUGAGUAACCUGCCCUUGACUUUGGGAUAACUUCAGGAAACUGGGGCUAAUACCGGAUAGGAGCUCCUGCUGCAUGGUGGGGGUUGGAAAGUUUCGGCGGUUGGGGAUGGACUCGCGGCUUAUCAGCUUGUUGGUGGGGUAGUGGCUUACCAAGGCUUUGACGGGUAGCCGGCCUGAGAGGGUGACCGGCCACAUUGGGACUGAGAUACGGACCAGACUCGUACGGGAGGCAGCAGUGGGGAAUAUUGCACAAUGGGCGGAAGCCUGAUGCAGCAACGCCGCGUGCGGGAUGACGGCCUUCGGGUUGUAAACCGCUUUCGCCUGUGACGAAGCGUGAGUGACGGUAAUGGGUAAAGAAGCACCGGCUAACUACGUG
This 468-nucleotide ribosomal RNA is filed under the name uncultured bacterium. RNAcentral describes it as "partial 16S ribosomal RNA". It matches the Rfam family "Bacterial small subunit ribosomal RNA", at positions 28 to 507 of the family's 1533-position model. The record is from RNAcentral.